GCACGGGUGAGUAACACGUAUCCAACCUGCCGAUAACUCUGGAAUAGCCUUUCGAAAGAAAGAUUAAUACCGGAUGGCAUACGAAUAUCGCAUGAUAUUUUUAUUAAAGAAUUUCGGUUAUCGAUGGGGAUGCGUUCCAUUAGUUUGUUGGCGGGGUAACGGCCCACCAAGACAACGAUGGAUAGGGGUUCUGAGAGGAAGGUCCCCCACAUUGGAACUGAGACACGGUCCAAACUCCUACGGGAGGCAGCAGUGAGGAAUAUUGGUCAAUGGGCGAGAGCCUGAACCAGCCAAGUAGCGUGAAGGAUGAAGGCUCUAUGGGUCGUAAACUUCUUUUAUAUGGGAAUAAAGUUUUCCACGUGUGGAAUUUUGUAUGUACCAUAUGAAUAAGGAUCGGCUAACUCCGUGCCAGCAGCCGCGGUAAUACGGAGGAUCCGAGCGUUAUCCGGAUUUAUUGGGUUUAAAGGGAGCGUAGGUGGAUUGUUAAGUCAGUUGUGAAAGUUUGCGGCUCAACCGUAAAAUUGCAGUUGAAACUGGCAGUCUUGAGUAC
Molecule: ribosomal RNA, 550 nt
Filed under: uncultured bacterium
Lineage: Bacteria
Description: bacterial SSU rRNA
Rfam family: Bacterial small subunit ribosomal RNA
Source: RNAcentral